CGCGUAGGCGGCUUGUACAGUCAGACGUGAAAUUCCUGGGCUCAACCUGGGGGCUGCGUUUGAUACGUGCGGGCUUGAGUUCGGAAGAGGGUCGUGGAAUUCCCAGUGUAGAGGUGAAAUUCGUAGAUAUUGGGAAGAACACCGGUGGCGAAGGCGGCGACCUGGUCCGAUACUGACGCUGAGGCGCGAAAGCGUGGGGAGCAAACG
Molecule: ribosomal RNA, 207 nt
Filed under: uncultured bacterium
Lineage: Bacteria
Description: partial 16S ribosomal RNA
Rfam family: Bacterial small subunit ribosomal RNA
Source: RNAcentral